AGACAGAGGGUGCGAACGUUGCUCGGAAUUACUGGGCGUAAAGCGCGUGUAGGCGGACCGAUAAGUCAGGUGUGAAAGCCCUGGGCUCAACCUAGGAACUACAUUUGAAACUGUCGGUCUUGAGUGGUGGAGAGGGAAGUGGAAUUCCUGGUGUAGAGGUGAAAUUCGUAGAUAUCAGGAGGAACACCAGUGGCGAAGGCGGCUUCCUGGACACUAACUGACGCUGAGGUGCGAAAGCGCGGGCAGCAAACAGGAUUAGAAACCCCUGUAGUCC
RNAcentral lists this ribosomal RNA (274 nucleotides) under uncultured bacterium. RNAcentral describes it as "partial 16S ribosomal RNA". It matches the Rfam family "Bacterial small subunit ribosomal RNA", at positions 523 to 796 of the family's 1533-position model. The record is from RNAcentral.